ACCUUAAGAGGAUUAGAUUUGUUGAUCCAUCCCUCAUUCGUAUAAGUCACAUUAAUCAAAUGGACACCUAGCUAAAAGAAUGGAGGUUUUGUUUGGACAUUAUAUUAUUUUUGGCACCGAUUGAUGCAUGACUCAUUGGCUCUUAGAAUUUCAGAGCAAGUAGUCACCUUGUUUUGGGAUGGCAGAUUUCACUCUGAUACAAUUUUGGUGCAUUGCUGGUAGCAUCAAAUGACUACUUAGUAGAAUUGUGGGGACUAGAACCAGCUUUCUUUUAUUUGCAUUCAUAUAUUUUCCCCAAAACAGCAUAUUGCUUUGGUUCAGAUUUAUGUAUUUCGUAAAUAAGAGUGAAAUCUAAAGGAACAAGUAUAUUUGUUAAAAGGGCGAUGGAUCUAGAAGCUAAAGCUUCCAUAACAUCCUUAUCCUCAAUUUUAAUAAUCCCAAAACCCCAAAAGAUAAUUUUUAUUAAUGUUCCUCUCAGCUGCUGCAGAGAUACAAUUAACCAUGAAAAAAGCCCUGAAAUUAAUUAAUUUUUUUUUUUUUGGAUGUGGAAGUGAAGUGCAUUUUUAAAAUUUUGCCCUAUAUAGUAGAAGAUAAAAAGAACAUUUUUAUGUUAGACCAAAGGGGAUACAGAUUUCAAUCUCAUAAUAGUUUCUUUCUUUCUGAAUUCUAGUGUGGAACUAGAGUAGGUAAUAAAUUCUAGGCCACGAUGGCCACUAGUGCCCAAAUAUCCCUCUGUCAUGGCGCCAUCAAGUGUUAAGGGCUUGUCCAAGUAGGAGCCCAGGAGCAGCAGAACCGGGGACUUCAAUUCGACCUUGGCCCUUUGUUGCAGAAGUCUCAGAAGUUUAUAUCUUGAGAAUUGACACUUUACCUUCCAGUGGCCUUGGAGAGGAAGGACAGCAGGGUUACCUCACCAGCCCAGCUCCAGCUCCCCUUUACCCCCCGCCCAGGUACCUGUCUGACUGCAGCAGGAGAUUCUAGCACAGAGGGUGCCAGCAAGCAGGAGUGCUCAGAGGGUUUCUCAUUUGAAAGGUAUUUACUGUUAGGGGAGAGUGGGAGGAGAGGAGGGGCAGGCAUGGGUGGGCAGAGCAUAGGUACUAGGAAUCUGCAAACCACAGACAAGAAGCAAGUGAAAGUAAAGAUCUGAGGGUUUGCUGUAAGCUGCAUUAGCAGGAGGAGCACUGGGCCUGUGGGAGUGGACACAUGUGUCUCCUUCCAGGGGCUCCUGCCACAGCCUCAGCCCCAGACAUCUCAAGGCUCAGUGUGUGUGUCUGUCUGCCAGUGCACCCCAGGGGGGCCUCAUGGUGAGGCUUCCUCUGCCUGGGUUGCUCCUGGCAUGGCCUCCAGCUUUUCCCCUCAACCCUGCAGCCCACUGGAAGACAUAAGCUAAAGCUGGUGGGGACCUCCACUCUGGGUACCGUCCCUGCCCAUCCCCUCUGGCAGUCGCUUUCCUAACUGACGGGUAUUGGUGAAGUGCUCAGGAUGUUCUUGGUGGGCGUAUUUCCUCCCGGUGGGGGUGGCGUAAAAACCACAGCCUUUUAGAAGCCUCUGUUUCUUUCCUUGACUGGCACUUUAAAAGGUGUGUGCUCUACCGUCAUCACUAGGAGAGGGAGGCUCUGUGAUCCUCCUUUAUUCUCCCAUCUUUCCACCGGGGUCUAAUACAUUUAACAAGCCUAUGAAAAGGCUGCCUACCUCAUGCCAUUUUCUGACUGUUAUUCAAAGUGAAGGACAUCUGAAAAAAGACAUUACAUUACCUACAGCCCAGGGUGGAGGGGGGAGGGAAUAAUUUAGUACAAGGAAUUAGGAGGCAUUUCUUCUUUUUUGACAGGCUGAAAGGCUUCCUAGGUGAGAUUUCCAUCGCUGGUUGAAGGAAGGGAAAAGGCUGAGUGGGAGGUGCAAGGGCUGCUAAUCUGAAAAUUACCGGAAUUUCCUUAAUUUCCACUCUUUAGAAAAUGUCUGCUGCACAAGGAGAGGGUGGUGAGAAUCCAGUGAGAUAAUCCUCAUGGAAGGGUUUGGAGAACCUUAUAACACUUCACCAGAGUGAGGGGCAAUGACAAUUCGAGUCCACGAUAAAAAAAUAAAAUAAAAUAAAAAAAGGCCCUUUCUUGUC
Pan troglodytes (chimpanzee) is the source of this 2107-nucleotide long non-coding RNA. RefSeq lists it as uncharacterized. The transcript is spliced from 3 exons. The record is from RefSeq and is a predicted model, not a curated record. Lineage: Eukaryota; Metazoa; Chordata; Mammalia; Primates; Hominidae.